CAUUGUAGGCUUUGGAAACUGUUUAACUUGAGUGCAGAAGGGGAGAGUGGAAUUCCAUGUGUAGCGGUGAAAUGCGUAGAUAUAUGGAGGAACACCGGUGGCGAAAGCGGCUCUCUGGUCUGUAACUGACGCUGAGGCUCGAAAGCGUGGGGAGCGAACAGGAUUAGAUACCCUGGUAGUNCACGCCGUAAACGAUGAGUGCUAGGUGUUAGGUCCUUUCCGGGACUUAGUGCCGCAGCUAACGCAUUAAGCACUCCGCCUGGGGAGUACGACCGCAAGGUUGAAACUCAAAGGAAUUGACGGGGGCCCGCACAAGCGGUGGAGCAUGUGGUUUAAUUCGAAGCAACGCGAAGAACCUUACCAGGUCUUGACAUCCCGAUGCCCGCUCUAGAGAUAGAGCUUUACUUCGGUACAUCGGUGACAGGUGGUGCAUGGUUGUCGUCAGCUCGUGUCGUGAGAUGUUGGGUUAAGUCCCGCAACGAGCGCAACCCUUAUUGUUAGUUGCCAUCAUUCAGUUGGACACUCUAGCGAGACUGCCGGUAAUAAACCGGAGGAAGGUGGGGAUGACGUCAAAUCAUCAUGCCCCUUAUGACCUGGGCUACACACGUGCUACAAUGGCUGGUACAACGAGUCGCAAGCCGGUGACGGCAAGCUAAUCUCUGAAAGCCAGUCUCAGUUCGGAUUGUAGGCUGCAACUCGCCUACAUGAAGUCGGAAUCGCUAGUAAUCGCGGAUCAGCACGCCGCGGUGAAUACGUUCCCGGGCCUUGUACACACCGCCCGUCACACCACGAGAGUUUGUAACACCCGAA
Molecule: ribosomal RNA, 810 nt
Filed under: uncultured bacterium
Lineage: Bacteria
Description: bacterial SSU rRNA
Rfam family: Bacterial small subunit ribosomal RNA
Source: RNAcentral